Molecule: transfer RNA, 73 nt
Filed under: Gossypium arboreum
Lineage: Eukaryota; Viridiplantae; Streptophyta; Magnoliopsida; Malvales; Malvaceae
Rfam family: tRNA
About the family: Transfer RNA (tRNA) molecules are approximately 80 nucleotides in length. Their secondary structure includes four short double-helical elements and three loops (D, anti-codon, and T loops). Further hydrogen bonds mediate the characteristic L-shaped molecular structure. tRNAs have two regions of fundamental functional importance: the anti-codon, which is responsible for specific mRNA codon recognition, and the 3' end, to which the tRNAs corresponding amino acid is attached (by aminoacyl-tRNA synthetases). tRNAs cope with the degeneracy of the genetic code in two manners: having more than one tRNA (with a specific anti-codon) for a particular amino acid; and 'wobble' base-pairing, i.e. permitting non-standard base-pairing at the 3rd anti-codon position.
Source: Rfam by way of RNAcentral
GCCCCCAUCGUCCAGCGGUUCAGGACACCUCUCUUUCAAGGAGGCAGCGGGGAUUCGACUUCCCCUGGGGGUA